AAGGCAGGAAAGACAAUCAGACCUAUCUACAAUAUGUAAUGAGCAUUGGUGCCCAUGGCGCACAUCCGUUUUGAGGUGUCGGCGUCGUUAUCGGGCCAAAUUCGCUAAUUGCGAACGAUAACUUUGCGGGCGAAGCCCGUCUCGCUGCGUAGCCUAGGCUAAGUAGUAAGCACGGUUCGGGGGGUGCCGGGCAACAAAACCCCCCACU
This 208-nucleotide transfer-messenger RNA is filed under the name Alphaproteobacteria bacterium. It matches the Rfam family "Alphaproteobacteria transfer-messenger RNA". Rfam says of the family: Bacterial tmRNA, also known as 10Sa RNA or SsrA, is named for its dual tRNA and mRNA-like properties. Its role is to liberate the mRNA from a stalled ribosome. Lineage: Bacteria; Pseudomonadati; Pseudomonadota; Alphaproteobacteria. The record is from RNAcentral.